Molecule: ribosomal RNA, 439 nt
Filed under: uncultured bacterium
Lineage: Bacteria
Description: partial 16S ribosomal RNA
Rfam family: Bacterial small subunit ribosomal RNA
Source: RNAcentral
CUACGGGAGGCUCCAGUGGGGAAUAUUGCACAAUGGACGAAAGUCUGAUGCAGCAACGCCGCGUGGAGGAUGACACAUUUCGGUGCGUAAACUCCUUUUAUAUAGGAAGAUAAUGACGGUACUAUAUGAAUAAGCGCCGGCUAACUCCGUGCCAGCAGCCGCGGUAAUACGGAGGGCGCAAGCGUUACUCGGAAUCACUGGGCGUAAAGAGCGUGUAGGCGGAUAGAUAAGUCAGGAGUGAAAUCCUAUGGCUCAACCAUAGAACUGCUCUUGAAACUGUCUAUCUAGAAUAUGGGAGAGGUAGAUGGAAUUUCUGGUGUAGGGGUAAAAUCCGUAGAGAUCAGAAGGAAUACCGAUUGCGAAGGCGAUCUACUGGAACAUUAUUGACGCUGAGACGCGAAAGCGUGGGGAGCAAACAGGAUUAGAUACCCCCGUAGUC